Molecule: long non-coding RNA, 1779 nt
Organism: Equus caballus (horse)
Lineage: Eukaryota; Metazoa; Chordata; Mammalia; Perissodactyla; Equidae
Source: Ensembl
CCCAGUCAGACUCCUUCAUUCGUUCAAACACACAUCUCUUGAGCAGCUUCUCCAUUCUAGCUUCCGGGGAAGAGCCGAGAUGAGCUCUUACAGAUGAGCAAGAACUAGCUAAGCAAAGAAAGGAGUGAGAGCGGGGAUGUCCUGAAGAGAGGAAGAGUACGUUUGAAGGUUCAGAGGGCAGUCCCUCGCAGGAGGUUCAUGUGUGCUUGUGAAACGCAAGCACAUUAUCUCAGAGGCAAAACAGCUACAGGAAAGGAGGAAGAGUCCAAUGUGACAGAGAAAAGAUAAUCAUUGUUGGCAGUGUCAUCUUGACUCUCAAUGAUAGCGUCUGUGACAGGUGGGAGUGAGGCUGCAGAAUGAAACAGAGGGGGAAUCACCGGAAAGCAUCCUCCAUCUGCCUGGGAAGACCUGCAUCAGGCCUGAAAGUGAUAUCGUGGGAACCAACAGAGGACUUGGAAAUCGGAAGAGAUGAGAAUACGGAGACCCCUCUCCAGUGAAUUUCUGCACCGGUCGCUUUGCUCAGCUUUCCCUCCUGUUCCUGAAACGUCUUCCUCAUUCCUCUCAGCCUCUCUAAAUUCUCCAAAUGCUUCAAGUUUCACUAAUUCCCUUAUAAGGCUUAUAGAAUUUCCCACAUGGACCCUCAGUAGGUUAAAAUUUCCAAGAGCACAAAGAACACUUUUGAUUGUGUUCUUCCUCAUUUCCCCACUGUCUAGCACUGUACUUAGCGUUUGUCAGACGCUUAAAAUAUACGUGCUGAAUGAGUUGAUGGCUUUGAAUGACUGGGGGAAUUUUGGGUCCUUCACUCAUCUCAAGUAAACUGUGAAUCAUCAGAAAGAAUAGAAGGAAAAGAGAUUCAUUCUUCUCAAAACACACACCGUCUGUACCACAUAAUUUAGCAAUUAAUUAUGAUUAAUUUAGCAAUUAAAAUGAGCAAUUUAAUGCUCAUUUUGACAGUACAAAGAACCGGCAGCAUUUGUUUCCAUGUCACUUUAAGAACAUUUCCAGCUCAACUGACUGACUUAGGAGGAAUAAUAAUCACAAGUGACAGUGUCCAUGACGGCCUCCACCCAAAAACAUAAAGCGGACUAUUGUGUUCUUGCAGAUAUGAUACGCUUUGCAUUUUCUUUCUCUUGUUUUAUUUUUUAAUAGAAAUAUCUGUUGAUCUACAUGGCAUUCUCUGGAGAAUAUACGAGCUGGGUGUGAUGGGUAGAAUAAUGCCUCCCUCCCCCAAAGAUGUCCACUGUGACUAUGUUAUGUUACACGUGAGAGGGAAUGAAGGUUGCAGACAGAAUUAAGGCUACUAAUGAGCUGACUUUAAAACAUAGGAGAUUAUCCUGGAUUACCUAGGUGAGCCCAACAUAAUCACAAAGCCCAUACAGGACCUUUGUGGAGGAGGGAAGCAGAGGAGGCGGUAUUGCAGUGAUGCAUGUGAGAAAGACUCCACUGGCCAUUGCUGGCAUUGACCAUGGAAGAGAUCCAUGAGCCAAGGACUGAGGGAAGCUCCUGGAAACUGGAAAAGUCAAGAAAAUAGGUUUUCCCUUACAACCUCCAGAAGGAAUGCAGCCCUGCCAACACCUUAGUGUUAGCCCAUUGAGACGUGCUUUGGAAUUCUGAUCCCCAGAACAAUAAGAUAAUAGAUUUGUGUUGUUGUAAGCCACCAAGUUUGUGGUAAUUUGUUACGGCAACAAUAGGAAACUAGUACAUUAGGGGUUCUAAAUAAAAAGACAAGGAUGGGUGCAGUUGCAUUUUACAACUUAUCAAAAAAAGAUACAAUAAAAG